Non-coding RNA from Cricetulus griseus (Chinese hamster), 2866 nucleotides. The record is from RefSeq and is a predicted model, not a curated record. Lineage: Eukaryota; Metazoa; Chordata; Mammalia; Rodentia; Cricetidae.
GGAAGUUCCGGAGAGCCGCUGCGCGCAAACGCGACACGCCAACCUUGCGCCAGCGCGCCGCAAGUGCGCAGGCGCCGCCGCCGCUCUGCUGCUCUUCCUCGUCCCUCUGCCUACAUCAGGCUGUCGGGUCCUAUGUCGCGCCGGGCCCUCCGGAGGCUGAGGGGGGAACAGCGCGGCCAGGAACCCCUAGGGCCCGACGCAUUGCAGUUUGUCCUCCUUGAUGACGAUGACGCGGAGGAAGAGGGACCAAAACAAGGGUCGGGUGGCCGGCGCCCCGGGGGCGCAGGGAAGGAAGGAGUCCGUGUCAACAACCGGUUCGAGCUGAUAAACAUCGAAGACCUUGAGGAUGACCUUGUGGUAAACGGGGAGAGAUCUGACUGUACCCUGCCAGAUGCUGUGUCAUCAGGGAACAAAGGAAGGGCUCAACGUGGAAAACCAGAGACAAAGCAAGAUGAGGACGUGGCCAAGGCAGGGUCCCCAGAACAGUCUAAUGCAAGUGGCAAACUCCGAAAGAAGAAAAAGAAGCAGAAAAAUAAGAAAAACUGCACAGGAGACUCCUCGGAAAAUGGGCUAGAGGAUAUUGAUCGUAUCUUAGAGAGGAUCGAAGACAGCAGUGGGUUCAGCCACCCAGGCCCCCCUCCACUGAACUCCAGGAAGCAAGUCCUAUAUGUGGAGCACAGACACUUAAAUCCAGAUACAGAACUGAAAAGGUAUUUUGGUGCUCGAGCGGUCCUGGGAGAACAAAGGCCUCGACAAAGACAGCGUGUAUAUCCCAAGUGUACAUGGCUGACAACCCCUAAGAGCACUUGGCCCCGAUAUAGCAAACCAGGUCUGUCAAUGCGGCUGCUGGAAUCCAAGAAAGGCCUUUCUUUCUUUGCAUUUGAGCAUAGUGAGGAGUACCAGCAAGCACAGCACAAGUUCCUGGUGGCUGUGGAGUCUAUGGAGCCAAAUAACAUUGUGGUUCUGCUCCAGACAAGUCCCUAUCAUGUUGACUCACUUCUGCAGCUCAGUGAUGCCUGUCGCUUUCAGGAGGAUCAAGAGAUGGCUCGAGACCUUAUAGAGAGAGCACUGUACAGCAUGGAGUGUGCAUUCCACCCCUUGUUCAGUCUCACCAGUGGGACUUGCAGGCUGGAUUACCGCAGACCUGAGAACAGGAGCUUCUACCUGGCCCUCUACAAGCAGAUGAGUUUCUUGGAGAAGCGAGGAUGCCCACGUACUGCACUGGAGUACUGCAAGCUCAUCCUGAGCCUUGAGCCAGAUGAGGACCCCCUGUGCAUGCUGCUGCUUAUUGACCAUCUGGCCUUACGGGCCCGGAAUUAUGAGUACCUGAUCCGCCUCUUCCAGGAGUGGGAGGCACAUCGGAACCUGUCGCAACUCCCAAAUUUUGCCUUCUCGGUCCCAUUGGCAUAUUUCCUUCUGAGUCAGCAAACAGACUUACCUGAGCAUGAGCUCACCUCUGCCAGGCAACAAGCUUCCCUCCUGAUACAGCAGGCACUUACCAUGUUCCCUGGAGCUCUUAUGCCAUUGCUGGAGUAUUGCAGUGUGCGGCCUGAUGCAACAGUCUCAAACCACCGCUUCUUUGGGCCAGAUGCUGAGAUAAGCCAGCCCCCUGCCCUGAGCCAGCUGGUGAGUCUGUACCUUGGGAGGUCACACUUUCUUUGGAAAGAACCCGCCACUAUGAGCUGGCUGGAGGAAAACGUCCGCGAGGUUCUUCAAGCAGUGGAUGCUGGGGACUCUGCUGUGGAGGCCUGUGAGAAUAGGCGGAAGGUGUUGUACCAGCGUGCACCCAGAAACAUCCACCGCCAUGUGAUACUCUCUGAGAUCAAGGAGGCUGUUGCUGCCCUACCCUCGGAUGUAACUACACAGUCUGUGAUGGGAUUUGAUCCUCUGCCUCCCCUGGAUACCAUCUACUCGUACGUCAGACCAGAGAGACUGAGUCCAGUCAGCCAUGGAAACACAAUUGCCCUCUUCUUCCGGUCAUUAUUGCCAAAUUACACUACAGAGCAUGAAUUGGCAAGGCCAUGAAGUCUGGAUACAGGUUCUACUAUUUGUGCUCAUGGGUCAGCAGGGGCCUGGGGAGGGCAGGCCUGAGGGGCAUAGCCCCACACCAGUUGCCUCACCUGCUCCUGGGUUUGGUGGGAGAUCUACACCCAGUCCCAGGGAGGGGUACUGUUGAGAUGGUCCUAAUUCAAUGUCUGAAUCCAAGUUGGAGUGGCCUCUGCAGCUGUAAGUCGAUCCAGAUGAGGAUAUGGUAUCUGGAGCUGCAGCAACUAUUCUACAACCACGAGGCAAUGAACUCCAAAAUGAAGAGCCAGUGUACUAGGAACAGAGAAGCAGAGGAUGCCCUAGGCCUUCAGGAAACUUCCCACCUCCAGGCCUGUAUCCUGAGAGGCCAUUAAAUGAUCGGCUUCAGAAGUGUUGCUCAGACUUAAGUAAUUUUCAACUGAAUCCAUUUCAAAUGGUGAUAAAUAAAAACCAGUCAUUCACGUCAUCUGCAGAUCAUCAGGAAAAGUAACUUUUUGAGACAGAGUCUCAAUGUGUAGCCCUCGAUGGCCUAGAACUUGCUAUGUAGAUCAGGCUGGCCUCAGAGAUCCGCCUGCCUCCGCCUCCCAAAUGUUAGUUAAAAGCGUGCACCACCACACCUAAUCUGCAUGUCAUCUACAGCUUUAAAGUCUGCCCUGCCACCCAGGUGGGAGUGAUAGUGUAACCCACUCCUCCCUGGACCCAGUCUCAGCAAGAGGUGCCUGCCUGUGUGCUCCUGUGCAGAAUUGUUGGUUAUUUGUGUAUUUUCAUGUAGUCAGGGAGAAAACCUGUUUGCUGUCUCCCACAGAAAGUUCAGAGGAAAUGAAUGACUUUCAAACAAAGA